UUUAAGUGCAACCAUCAGUUUCCAUAUCUAACUUUAAUCACUCAUCUUAUUUGAAAAAAAAUUAUAAUUAGUAUUUUUUGUUGUUAUGAGAUGAUAAAACAUGAAUAGUACUUUAUAUGUGACUUAUGUUUUAAAUUUUUUUAAAAGUUUUUUAAAUAAGAUGGAUGAUUAAAGUUGGGAACGGAAAAUAAUGACGGCACUUAAA
Non-coding RNA from Oryza meridionalis, 205 nucleotides. The record is from Rfam. Lineage: Eukaryota; Viridiplantae; Streptophyta; Magnoliopsida; Poales; Poaceae.